UACGGAGGGAGCUAGCGUUGUUCGGAAUUACUGGGCGUAAAGCGCGCGUAGGCGGCUUUGUAAGUUAGAGGUGAAAGCCCGGGGCUCAACCCCGGAACAGCCUUUAAGACUGCAUCGCUAGAAUCCGGGAGAGGUGAGUGGAAUUCCGAGUGUAGAGGUGAAAUUCGUAGAUAUUCGGAAGAACACCAGUGGCGAAGGCGGCUCACUGGACCGGCAUUGACGCUGAGGUGCGAAAGCGUGGGGAGCAAACAGG
RNAcentral lists this ribosomal RNA (253 nucleotides) under uncultured bacterium. RNAcentral describes it as "partial 16S ribosomal RNA". It matches the Rfam family "Bacterial small subunit ribosomal RNA", at positions 524 to 776 of the family's 1533-position model. The record is from RNAcentral.